UUGAUCAUGGCUCAGGACGAACGCUGGCGGCGCGCCUAACACAUGCAAGUCGAACGGGAUCCAUGCCAGGAAGUCUUCGGAUGGAAUGGUGUGGUGAGAGUGGCGGACGGGCGAGUAACGCGUGAGCAACCAACCCCGUACUGGGGGAUAACGUCGGGAAACCGGCGCUAAUACCGCAUAAGAUUACGGCGCCGCAUGGUGCAGUAAUUAAAGCUCCGGCGGUACGGGACGGGCUCGCGUCCGAUUAGCUAGUUGGUGAGGUAACGGCUCACCAAGGCGACGAUCGGUAGCCGGACUGAGAGGUUGGCCGGCCGCAUUGGGACUGAGACACGGCCCAGACUCCUACGGGAGGCAGCAGUGGGGAAUAUUGGGCAAUGGGGGGAACCCUGACCCAGCAACGCCGCGUGGAGGAAGAAGGUUUUCGGAUCGUAAACUCCUGUCCUCAGGGAAGAGCAAGAGACGGUACCUGAGGAGGAAGCCCCGGCUAACUACGUGCCAGCAGCCGCGGUAAUACGUAGGGGGCAAGCGUUGUCCGGAAUGAUUGGGCGUAAAGGGCGCGUAGGCGGCCCGGUAAGUCUGAAGUGAAAGUCCUGCCUUCAAGGUGGGAAUUGCUUUGGAUACUGUCGGGCUUGAGUGCAGGAGAGGUCAUUGGAAUUCCCAGUGUAGCGGUGAAAUGCGUAGAGAUUGGGAGGAACACCAGUGGCGAAGGCGAGUGACUGGACUGUAACUGACGCUGAGGCGCGAAAGUGUGGGGAGCAAACAGGAUUAGAUACCCUGGUAGUCCACACUGUAAACGUUAGUACUAAGUGUCGGGGGGUUAACUCUCGGUGCUGAAGUAAACACAUUAAGUACUCCGCCUGGG
Molecule: ribosomal RNA, 862 nt
Filed under: uncultured Clostridia bacterium
Lineage: Bacteria; Bacillati; Bacillota; Clostridia
Description: bacterial SSU rRNA
Rfam family: Bacterial small subunit ribosomal RNA
Source: RNAcentral